Small nucleolar RNA from Ylistrum balloti, 129 nucleotides. RefSeq annotates it as U8 small nucleolar RNA. The transcript has a single exon. The record is from RefSeq and is a predicted model, not a curated record. NCBI's taxonomy places the organism in Eukaryota, Metazoa, Mollusca, Bivalvia, Pectinida, Pectinidae.
GUCUCAGUAAGGGAAUUCUUACCUGCAGCCCUUUGGGCUACAGUGAGCGUGAUGAAGAUGGGUUCUGAUCGAAUGAUUUAAAACCCACUGGAGAUUGGGACUUGCAACCCCCCUUUCUUCACUUCUGAC